Molecule: RNA transcript, 3379 nt
Organism: Zea mays
Lineage: Eukaryota; Viridiplantae; Streptophyta; Magnoliopsida; Poales; Poaceae
Exons: 4
Source: RefSeq, a predicted model, not a curated record
AGGUCGAUGGCCUGUCUCUCAUAAUUUCCUUUCCGUUUUUCUUCCUGUGGUCGCUCGUUGAGUGCGGAAAUUCCACGAACGUGAGCCCAACAUGGAGCCGGCGACCCCUCCGGCACCCGCCGCCGGCGUCACUGCUACCAUCGACCUCUCCCUAGUCGCAGCCGACCUCGGUGGGGCGCACCUCCUGCCCUGCGGCAUCAGGCAGAACGGCGGCGCCCCCGUAUCCGACUACUUCAAGCCUAGGGCCACAGGUCCGGAUGGCUACCGAGGUUUUGUAUUGGAGAAGAGGCACGGACAUAAUUCAAAUGCUGAAGUCAACAAUUUUACAUCCCAAGCUGAAUUCCAGAGCAUAACCUACUGGAAUCACGAUACAACGUCAUCAACAGAGGAUUCCCUCCCGAGGUGCUUCCAUUGGCUAACCGUUGCUAAUGCGCAGCCAGCAGUGCACUGGCGAUGGCAAGUAGUCCAGCUUCUGUUAAUGACUAUUGUGAUCCGAAGACUGAUCCAGCAAGGAAGGCAAAGAACACACGUGAUCCUGGUUGGAAAUAUGGGUACUGGACAGACGAUCCUGGUUGGAAAUAUGGGUACUGGACAGACUUGAUGUUGUGACCUGCACUCUUUGUAGGAUCAUAAGACUGAAGCAAGACCUUGCUGGUGGAUAUGAAGAUGCAAAAAUGUGUGCCAAAACAACUACUGCAAUCAGGAAGGAAAUGAGAGCAUACUUGGAAAUGCACAAGAGGAGAAGACCCUUGAGCUUUGAAGAUGAUGAUGGUGAUGUGGAUGUGCUGGAGGUGGUACCACAGGAGGGGAACAACGUUGAUGUGGUGGAGGAGAUAACACAGGACAGGAACAAGAGCAAUGCAGCUGUGGCAGAGUCCCAAGCCUAAGGCAGCUAGCAAUGGGAAGUCUAUUGUCCAAAAUCAGGGACUGCAGCCAAAAGAAGACAAUCAGCAAUGCAAUUCAAGCCCAAGCCUAAGGCAGCUAGCAAUGGGAAGUCUAUUGUCUAGUUGCUUAGAAGAACUCCUGAAGAAGUGGUUGAGCAAAGACACUCGGGGAAGGCUCAAAAAUACAAUUGAGGCCAGCUGCAAGACCAAGGAGGAGAAGCACUAUGUAGAUAUGCAGUGUGCCUUAUGGUUUUAUGAGGCUGGCAUACCUUUUAAUGUAGCAACAUCAAGACAGAUUGAGAUUGCACUUGAGGCCACUGCACAGUAUGUCUAGGAUACAUUCCACCUACAUCAUAUCAGCUUGGGGAGCCAUUGCUAGAGGCUGUUGUAAAGAUGACGAGCAAUGUGAGAAAGGACCAUGAGCGAGCAUGGAAACAUUUUGGCUAUACACUCAUGUCAGAUGGGUGUGCCGAUAGGAGGGGACACCAUUUGAUCAAUUUCCUAGUGAACAGCCCUGAAGGGACAUAUUUCUUGGAGUAUGUUGAUGCAUCCGAUGAAGUGCACAAUGAUGAAAUACUUGCAGAUUUAUUAGAAAAAAGAAUUGAAGAGAUUGGAAAGGACAACGUUGUUCAAGUUAUCACCAAUAACGGUGCCAACUACAAGGCAGCAAUUAGGCUUCUAAUGGAGAGGGUUCCAACACUAUUUUGGAGUCCAUGUGCAGCACAUUGCUUAGACCUUAUGUUGGAAGAUAUAGGAAACUUAAAGGACUUUAAGAAGCCUAUUGCACGUGCCAAGCGUGUGACAACUGAACAUUCAUAUAUAGGCAUGGCAGAAUUCUUAAUACAAUGAGGGAGAAAACAGGUGGUAGAGAUCUUGUGAGGGCUGCAGCCACUUGGUUUGCAACAUCAUUCCUUACUUUCAAGAGUCCGUACAAGCACAAGGAUGCUUUGAAGGCUUUAAUUGUUAGUGAAGUAUGGGUUGGAAACAAGUUGGCAAGAACCAAAGCCAGAGCGGAUGUCCAUGACAUUGUCCUAUCAACCCAAUUCUGGAAUUCAAUUGAAGAUUGCCUAUGAGCUUGAGCUCCACAUCUUAUCAUGCUUAGGGUAGUCGAUGGUGAUGAGAGGCCAGCAAUGCCAAAAUUUCAAGCACUAAUGAGUCAUGCAAAGGAGACCAUCAAUAAGGCCUUUGAUAUCCAAAGCAAGAAAUCUUUGCUUAAGAGGAUCAUGGACAUUGUUGAGAGACAAUGGCUGAAGCAAAUGGACCAUCCUUUGUAUGGUGCUGUGUUGUACUUGAACUCAGGAAAAUCGCACUCUCUCAUUAAAGAAGAUGAUGAUUCUGCUGUUGGACAAUUAAUGGGGCUGGUUCCUUAAUGUGCUUGCAAAAAUGGUGGAAGAUGAUGAAACUAGAAACAAGAUUGAUGCUCAAGCAAGGGACUAUGAACUUUUUAGAGGCACUGCCUUAUCAAAUAAAAUACCCAUACAAAAUCUUGAUUCGGUCAGCCCAAGUGUCCAUGGCUCAUGCCAUAUUUCAGUUCUACAGUUAAAUUUCAGAUUCAAUAAUUCAGUUUCAGCAAGUGUAUAUUUUAUAUGGCUCCUAAUAAUAUGCUUUUGUUGUGAUACUAGUCGAUCGCUGGGGUUCUUAUGGUGGACGUGCUAUUGAAUUACAAAGGUUUGCUAGGCGUGUUGUUAGUCUUUGUGCUUCAUCAUCUAGUUAUGAAAGAAAAUGGAACACAUUCGGAUUUAUUCAUAAGAAAAGAAAUAGGCUGCUCCACAAGAGACUGAAUUAUAUUGUGUCUGUGUCAUAUAAUCAGAAGAUGAAGAGCAGAUUUCAUUUAGACGUGAGAAAAGGGGGGAAACAUUGACCCUUUGGUCAUUUCAGAGUUUGAUUGGGACAAUGAGUGGGCAGACUCAUUGCAUGUGCCCUCUCAAGGUGUUCAUGGGUCAGAUCUAACAUGGGAGCUUGUUGAUGAAGCUAUGGGUGCAGCUAAAGCACUACUAGGCCGCAAUUUUCCAAGGAGAGCUCAUAUGAAUAGCAAGCAUGCAAGGAGUUCUACACAAACAGUGGACGAGGAUGACUUCGGUUCUACAAAUGAAGAAGAUCAAGACCCAUUGACCGUGACGACAGCCCAGAUGAAGCCAACAAUUGGGGGGGGGGGGGGGGGGGGGGGAGGGGAGGAAGCCGCUAACAUUCUCGACACAUUUGGUGACUUUGAGUGAUCAUUUUAUCAUCUUGCAGAGCUUGUGAGCUCAUGCUUUUGUGUGUUGUCCGAUGUGCGCUUAUGAUGUGCUUGACUACAUAUACCUAGUAUUAAUAUGCACUAUGUGACUAUUAUGCACUCCGUUUGUGCCGUGUGUUGUGUGUCUGAGACUAGCAUAUUGUUGUGCACUAGUAUUAAUAUGUUGUGGUUGUGGACUUGCACUAGACUGCUAGUAUUUACUUUGAUGUGUUUGGCUGGUUGAUACUCUUUAAUUUUCACCAAUGUGUUGUCUUUUCUA